Molecule: ribosomal RNA, 497 nt
Filed under: uncultured bacterium
Lineage: Bacteria
Description: partial 16S ribosomal RNA
Rfam family: Bacterial small subunit ribosomal RNA
Source: RNAcentral
GAUGAACGCUGGCGGCGUGCCUAAUACAUGCAAGUCGAGCGAACGGACGAGAAGCUUGCUUCUCUGAUGUUAGCGGCGGACGGGUGAGUAACACGUGGAUAACCUACCUAUAAGACUGGGAUAACUUCGGGAAACCGGAGCUAAUACCGGAUAAUAUUUUGAACCGCAUGGUUCAAAAGUGAAAGACGGUCUUGCUGUCACUUAUAGAUGGAUCCGCGCUGCAUUAGCUAGUUGGUAAGGUAACGGCUUACCAAGGCAACGAUGCAUAGCCGACCUGAGAGGGUGAUCGGCCACACUUGAACUGGGACACGGGCCAGACUCCUACGGGAGGCAGCAGUAGGGAAUCUUCCGCAAUGGGCGGAAGCCUGACGGAGCAAAGCCGGGUGAGGGAUGAAGGGCUUCGGAUCGGUAAACUCUGGUAUUAGGGAAGAACAUAUGUGUAAGUAACUGUGCACAUCUUGACGGUACCUAAUCAGAAAGCCACGGCUAACUACGUG